RNAcentral lists this ribosomal RNA (253 nucleotides) under uncultured bacterium. Its description in RNAcentral is "partial 16S ribosomal RNA". It matches the Rfam family "Bacterial small subunit ribosomal RNA", at positions 524 to 776 of the family's 1533-position model. The record is from RNAcentral.
UACGUAGGUGGCGAGCGUUGUCCGGAAUUAUUGGGCGUAAAGCGCGCGCAGGCGGUCCUUUAAGUCUGAUGUGAAAGCCCACGGCUCAACCGUGGAGGGUCAUUGGAAACUGGGGGACUUGAGUACAGAAGAGAAGAGUGGAAUUCCACGUGUAGCGGUGAAAUGCGUAGAGAUGUGGAGGAACACCAGUGGCGAAGGCGACUCUUUGGUCUGUAACUGACGCUGAGGCGCGAAAGCGUGGGGAGCAAACAGG